Molecule: non-coding RNA, 22 nt
Filed under: Rattus norvegicus (Norway rat)
Lineage: Eukaryota; Metazoa; Chordata; Mammalia; Rodentia; Muridae
Source: RNAcentral
CACAAACUUGAGAGCCCAUUGU